Molecule: RNA transcript, 3350 nt
Organism: Mirounga angustirostris (Northern elephant seal)
Lineage: Eukaryota; Metazoa; Chordata; Mammalia; Carnivora; Phocidae
Gene name: BLOC-2 complex member HPS5-like
Exons: 10
Source: RefSeq, a predicted model, not a curated record
AUGUCAGGAAAUGGUGGCUUAUCUUUGGGAAGCCUAAUUCUGGCUUGCCAGUUCAUAAAGAAGUACUUUUUUCUCUUGGACUUGAAAAGAGCAAAGGAGAGUAUCAAGCUUGGUUACGCCUGCAGUCCUUGUGUUUGGGAUACUUUUAUUGAAGGAUUGACAGAAAUGGCAAGUUCCAAUCCUGCAUAUAUGGAGAUGGAAGAAGGAGACUUACCAACAUGAUUAGUUAUUGAAUGAUUCAGUUCCCUUUGACAAUCCUUUGUUGAUUGCUUAUGCUGCCCGGUUGUAUGAGAAGUUUGGAGAAUCUGCCCUUCGGUCCUUAAUCAGGUUUUACCCAUCUGUUUUGCCUUCGGAUGUCAUGCAACUUUGUCAUCAUCAUCCUGCUCAGUUUUUGGCCUAUUUAGACAGUCUGGUGAAAUCGGGGCCUGAAGAUCAACGGCCAUCCUUCCUUGAGUCCCUUCUACAACCAGAGUCUUUGAGAUUGGAUUGGCUGCUUUGGGCCGUGUCCCACGAUGCUCCCCCAAGCACAAGCACGAUGGACAAUGAAGGAAACCCCAGGCCUCAUUCACACUUGUGUUCGUGGGGUUAUAGCCAGCUGAUGCUUCAUCUCAUUAAACUACCUGCAGAUUUUACAACCAAAGAGAAAAUGACUGACAUCUGUAAGUCUCAUGGUUUCUGGCCUGGAUAUCUUUCUCUUUGUUUGGAGCUGGAAAGAAGAAGAGAGGCCUUCACCAACAUUGUGUGCCUAAAUGAUAUGAGCCUGAUGGAAGGGGACAAUGGUUGGAUCCCAGAGACUGUGGAGGAAUGGAAGCUUCUGCUACAUCUCGUACAGAACAAGAGCACGAACCCCCAGAAGUCGCCAAAUGGAAACUUCAGUGAUGGGCCUCCCCCCAUCAACGUGGAGAAUGUGGCACUCCUGUUAGCUAAGGCCAUGGGCCCAGAUCGGGCCUGGUCACUGCUACAGGAAUGUGGUUUGACCCUGGAGCUGUCAGAGAGGUUUACCAGAACCUGCGAUAUCCUAAGGAUUGCUGAGAAAAGGCAGAGAGCCUUGAUACAAAGCAUGCUUGAAAAAUGUGAUCGGUUUCUCUGGUCUCAGCAGGCCUAGUGGAAGAAGAUUCAGCAAAUGUCACAAUGCUUUGAGAAAAACUGAACCAUGCUCCUGAACCUCCUGAGUGCAUUUGCUGUUGAAGGAAAGUAGCACUCAGGAUGGUUUGAGAAGUGACGGAGGUCAUGAAUGUGAUGAAUGUGAAGCACGGAGCAGGCGCCUGGCACAGAGUACAGGGAGAGCCAUCUCUUGGUGACACGUGAGACUAAAGUGCAGGGCAGUAAAGCUUGUGACGGUGCCCAGGAACACGUGUUAGCUGUUGUGUGAGAGGAUUGGAAGAUCCUUGCACCCAGAAGUGAUCAGACCCGGGUAAGCUGGUUCAUACGAACCCGGGAGAGUGGGAGCACCAAAACUGAAGGUAAGAAUGUCCUUGUAUGUGUUAAAUGUCCCUGUCCUGCCCAAGGCUCCAAACCUUGUGAUCGUCCUUGCCUCUCCCCUCCUCAACCCUCAUUUACGUUUCCCUAGCCACCGCUAGGGAAAUCCUCUCAGUUCUGUGUUGGUGGUGGUUUCCACUGGUCAUUCCCCGUCCGCCCUCCCCCCCCCCCCCGCCAUCUCUCUUGCUGCCAGUCCACGUUCUCAUUUCUUCUUGCCUGCCUAGACAGUCGGAGCAGUCCUAGUGACCUUUCUUUCUUCACUUGUAAACACUGCCUUCCCCCCGCCACCCGCCACCACCACUCAGUCUCAGCGCCCUAAAAUACAAGCACCUAGGCAUCACCCAGGGCAGGUGAUUCACAGCCCUGCCACACAUUAGAGUCAGCACAGGAGCUUGUGAAAAAUACUGAGUCGGGGAUCCUGCCCCAGGCCUGGGAUCUGUAGAUCAAGGGUCUAAUACAAUCCUCAGCCGGCCUCCUACCCCCACAUUGUUGCUAGAUUUAGGUAGAGAGUGACCCUGGUUUACAGAUAAACCCGUCUUGGUCUCAUGGGAAGUUAAUGAGAGGUCCACUGCCAGAGUUCUUGUCCUUUUGAGGCACGGCCUUAGUCACACCUCUUCCCAAUCAGAAACUUUCGGUGGCUCCCCUCUGCUUUCAGAAUAAAGCCCGAAUCCUUGAGCUUGUCAUUGAAGGCCCUCUCUGACUUGUUUCCAAAUUCAGUUCCUCAGUUCGAGAGUUUGUCUCUCAUCCUGGAUUCUCUGUUUCGUGGAUACACUCUGCAUGUGGGCCUCUGGUUGGACCCCUGCUUAAACCCUGAAGUGUCCUUCGCCCCAGUCCCCCACCUGCUAAAUCCCAUUGGGGUUCGGUGCCUUCAGAUUCCACAUGUCAAUUUGGGUUAUUUUACAGAUAACAUAAACAAGGGGCUGAAAUCUCUCUUCGCACCAGGAAACAGUAACUUUAGAGUGGGGUCAGAGCUUUUCCUAACCCUUCAUUUAGAAGAAAUCUGCAUACCCCUAAACUUCCUGAAUAACACUACAGAGUUGGAACCCAGUGCUGCUGUGUGGAGUCUGGAGUUUCCAGUCAGCCCUGGUCUAAUGGAUCAAAUACAGAUCACAGAAGCAGCCUGGAAAAAUUCCUACUUGGUAAUUCUUUCCAGAGGGCUUAGAAAAAUACAGACUGGCACCACUGUGUCCUAAGUACAGACAAUGUUUUCCCAGAUAGUGUUUUUCCCAUCUUGCCCAAGUAAUACAUUUUUCCAGACGGGCAACUCUGAAUCAAUGUGAAUAUUCAAAUUGAUGUUUCCCUCUAGUGAUGUGGGCAAUAUUUAUACCUGUUAUCCAUAGGUAAAGCCUGGGUUUAGUGACUUAGUGUCAGGUUUGUUUGUUUUUUUUAAGUAUUUUUUUUAAAGAUUUUAUUUAUGUAUAUAUUUGAGAGAGAGAGAGCACAAGCAGAGGGAGAGGAAGAAGCAGGCUCCUUGCUGAGCAGGAAGCCCGAUGCGGGGCUUGAUCCCAGGACCCUGGGAUCAUGACCCGAGCCGAAGGCAGACGCUUAACCGACUGAGCCACCCAGGCGUCCCACCACCAUCUUGGAAUUUUUAAUAAUUUCUGAACAAGGAUCUCCACAUUUUUAUUUUGCAUUGGGACCCACAUGUUAAGUAACUGGCUCCGGCUGCCACAGGAGAUCUGAGGUGGAGCCUAAGAUUUUACGUUUCCAACAGGUUUCCAGGUGAUGCUUCCUUGGAUCACCCUCUGGGUAGCAAGGCUCAGUCUAAAGUCUGGUAAAGCAGCAACUUGGAAGGAGCCAAGGCCCCUGGCAAGUGGAUUACUUGCCACAUUAAGCGAAACAUAAAUUUUUGUAUUCCUUAAACUUCUGAA